Non-coding RNA from Ictidomys tridecemlineatus (thirteen-lined ground squirrel), 3414 nucleotides. The record is from RefSeq and is a predicted model, not a curated record. NCBI's taxonomy places the organism in Eukaryota, Metazoa, Chordata, Mammalia, Rodentia, Sciuridae.
ACAUCAUUAUCUAAUGUACAUGUAUGAAGACAAGAAUUUGUGUGAACAUACUAUGUAUAGAACCAGAGGUAUGAAAAAUUGUGUUGUAGAUGUAUAACAUGAAGUGUAGUGCAUUCUGCUGUCAUUUAUUUCAAAAACAUUAAAAAAAAAAAAAGAAAUAGAUAGCCGAAUAGUCUCUGCCAGGCAUCCAGGGAUGGCUUGGCUGUGGUCUGGAGAGAUGCUGGUCACAGGAGACCAAAUUACACUUAGAUGGGAGGGAUGAGUUUAAAGGAUCUACUGUGCAAAAUAAUAACAACAUACAACAUACAACAGAAUGACUACAGUUGAUAAUGUUUUAUACACUUGAAAAUGACUGAGAUAGUAGAUUUUAAGGGUUCUCACCACAAAUAAGUAUAUGAGAGUAAUAUAUAUGUUCAAUAGUUUGACUCAGCCAUUUUUCAGUAUAUACAUGGUUCAAAAUAUGUUGUAUGCCAUAAAAAUGUACAAGUUAUCAUCAUCAUCAUCACCAUCAAGGAUUGAACCCAGGGUUGCUUAACCAUUGAGUCACAUCCCCAACACAUUUUAUUUUUUAUUUUGAGACAGAACUGUGUCAUAAAACCCACCCUGGAAAUGAGGUAAACUGGGAAGUUAUUUAGUUGUAUAAAUUAAUACCUCCUUCCCCAAAUUGGAACUCUGUUAAAAGAAAAAGAAAGAAAGAUAGGAUGAGCAAUGAGCACUGUCUGCUUUAAUUAGCGCUUGGCUUGAAAGGGAGAUAACUAUCACCAAACUUCUCCCAUGCCAUCUCCCCAGGAACCAUAUUACAUGGUCUCUGUAUUAGCCUGCAUUCUCUGGAUCUAACAAAAUACCCAAGAAUGGGUACUUUAUAAAGAGAUGAGGUUUAUUUAGCUCAGAGUCCAACAACUGGCAGCCAUUAUGACUGACCUUUGGUAAGAGUGAUCACAACAUGGUGAAUGGCAUCAUGGUGGGAGGACAUGCAAUGGGUAGAGACUGCAGGGCCAGAAACCGGGGAGGGAUAAGUCUCAUUCUUUUUAUAACAACCCCCUCUCACAGGAACUAAUGGAGGCCCAUGAGAAGUCCAUUAGUCCCUUCUAAAGGCCUCAUCCCCAAUCACCAAAUUACCUCCUACUAGGCCCCAUCUCUUGCAGGUGCUGCCACACCAAGGACCAAGCCUCAAGCCCAUGAACCUUUGGGGGACAAACCACAUCCCAUCCUCACAAGCUCCAACAAAGCCACCAUUGUAAGAGCAGGAUGUCCCAGUCUACAAGUGUGUAUGUAAGGAUGGGGGAGGGUUGAAGCAGCCAGAGCCCCUAUUCCAGAACUUCUCUGAUGUCACACUUGUAGUCAUGGUACUCUGGGUGCCAAGCCAGGAGAAGGAGUGGUUGGCUCUCAUUUGUUUGAGAACAGGCAUCAGAGCAUGACUGCUUCAAAUGGUUUUUUGUCCCCACCCGCACCCCGCCCCUAGCCAGAUCCUGGCUAUUCUCAAGGCUUUGGGCUUGUUUGACUAUGGCAGCACUGGUCUCUCUGAGCACCGUGUUCUUCACUUUCCCGUGAGUCUCCAUGCCAGCUGUCGGGCUUCUCACCAAGAGACAGAUGGGAAAUAGACAGUGAGAGUGCAGAGGCAGGGAAGUGAAGGGAGGCCAAGCGGGGAAGGAGGAUAUUUAGUUAAAAGCACAGAGAUGUGGAGAGCCUGAGGCUUUCAGGGAACUAUGGGAGGCUGGUAAUGCUGGUGACAUUUGGUGGAGGGAAUGGGGUCUGUCUCUAGCUGGGAUAUUCAGAUCUGCCCUUAAGGUGUGUGAGUCUGACCUCAGGUGAGCAGGGCCUCAUGGGGGCUCUGGGACUAGAACUGACUCUGGUCCUGGUUUCAGAUGCUGAGCACUGGCCUAAAAUGGAGACUGGAUCUUUCCAGUGGCCUCAGGCCUUCUCUGCCUCCUCAUUUUGUACAGCCUCAUUUCCAUGAAUGUGUCGGAUCCAGUCAUCUUACACAGAGGCGCCUUCAAGCAGGACACUGAGGCUCUCUACAUGGCACGAGCGAAUGGCAGCUUAUACCAAAUGCCAUGGUGUCUCACCUGUUAUUUUCACCACCUGCCCCGAACCUUCCACUUCAAAAGCUGUGACAUCUGUGUGGAGCAUGAUAACCCAUUCAAUGAGGGCUGCACAAGAAACUGUUACCUCACAUUAUGCGCACCCUUGGGACCCAAGUACACGUCAGAGGCUGAGUGCCUUCAGGUGGAGCAGGGCACCAACUGGGGACCAACACAAUAUCUUAAAGACCUCCUUUGGCCCAGAUCCGCAACUCAGGCCCUCCCAAGGUGUGGCAAGUCUGCACCCUUACAGAAGGGCAUACCAGAGCACUGGGCUCCAUUGGCACAAACCUCAUUGGCACAAACCUCAUUGGCACAGUGUCCCCAAAGGAAAGCAAAAGGAGAAUCCUCAAGCUGUGCCAGGUGUCUUAAAGUUCUAUGACUUCAACACAGUAAAGCAGAAAAAAAUCUCUGUUUUACUCCUCCUGCUGAAAACCAAGAAGUCAGAACCAUCAGCAGUAGUAACAGAGGAAGAUGAUGGUGAUGUAGAGGGGAGGCCUGUCAUUGCCCCAUGACCAGAUCAUACAAAAUCAGUUUUCUGGUUCAGUUUUUACUACUAUUGAUGUGACUCUGGAACAAAAGGUUGCAAUUAAACACAUUUAUAUACAGAAAUAUCCUUGGAAGGACCUGAUCCCCAAUGAGCUUUUGGUGAUGAAAGAAUUAAAGAUUCCCAACAUAAUUAACUUACUGGACAGAGAUGACUUGUUUGUAGUGACCGAGUACCUUGCUAGUGGGCCACUGACUGAUGUUGUAACAGAAACCUGCAUGGAUGAGGCGCAGAUUGCUGCUAUGUGCAUAGAGGUGAGUUUUCUAUCUUUGGGAUAAAGCAGGGUGUGAUGUGUGGUCAGCAAGAAAUGAAUUAAAGGAAAGUUUUUCUGCACAGGGAAUUUCUGCAAUGUGUACUGUUUCAUCUCUGAUGAGAGUUUCAGGCCUUCAUGUGUAGGAUACCUUGGGAAUGGGAUUUAGGCCCUUUUCUGUAUGUGUGUGUGUUAUUGGGGAUUCAAUCCAGGGGUGCUCCAUCACUGAGCUACAACUCCAGUUCUUCUUAUUUUUUUUUAAAUUUUUGAGACAAUCUCAAAGUUGCCUCGAACUUGUGAUUCUCCUACUUCCACCUCUGGUGUAGCUGGGGUUACAUGCAUGCCUAGUUAAAGUCUUUGAAGAACUAAAUUCACUGCAAAUCUCUUUAUAGUCAUCACAAUAGUUUAUCAUCCAGACAAUGCACUUUUGAGAAUAAAAGGGGGGGGGUGCUUUUAAAAAUAUACUACUCAGCCAGGUGUGGUGGUGCCUGAUGUAAUCCCAGUUACUCAGGAGGCUGAGACAGGAGGAUUGCAAG